Melopsittacus undulatus (budgerigar) is the source of this 3513-nucleotide long non-coding RNA. RefSeq lists it as uncharacterized. The record is from RefSeq and is a predicted model, not a curated record. Lineage: Eukaryota; Metazoa; Chordata; Aves; Psittaciformes; Psittaculidae. The transcript is spliced from 3 exons.
GGGAGCGGUGCCGGGAGGCGGGGCUGGGGACGGCUGGGGCCUUCCGGGAGAGUGGCUGCGGACUCCGCCUGCCUGAGCUGCCAGCCUGGUGACACGUGCAAAGGAAGCACCACGAAGGAGCAGGUCUGCAUGGAGGCCAUCAAGCUAGCUAUGAAACUGCAAGCCAUGCGAUGAGUUCAGAGCCAGCAAGGCCAGCUGAAGAUCCUGCCCAGGAAGGAUCCUGCAGGACCCCAUCGCUGAGCCCCCUGGGGAAGAGAAGGGUUUCCUUCUGAGAGGGCCCUGCAUUGGCGGUUGUGGCUGUGGUGAGCAUCUGGCUUGUCCUCAGUGCCUGGCCAAAACGGAACUGGAAGAAGAGGCUGGCCCAAACAGGACUGCAAUGCUCCCCUCUGUGACGUGCAUGGGUGUGCAGGGACACAAGCUCCAGGCCCCCAUCUGGGGACAUGCAGGCAGAAUAGAGGAAGGAUGCCAGGCACUGUAGGCUCAGACCAUGUCAAAAAUUGGUCUGGAACCAUAGGGCCUUUUGCUUCACAUGCAGGAUCAAAAGUCUAAAGAGCCUGGAAGAAGGGAAAUAAAAAAGAAGAAACCAUGCCAGAGUAGCUUGUCUUCUGCUGGACAGUUGCUGUCUCUCAUUUCCUCUGGCAAUAUAUUCCAUGGCCUCCACACCUGAGAUCUAGAAUCUGGUCUAGAAUCAGCCACGGAAUGUUGAUUUGCAAAUACUCUUUCAAGUCAGUUCCCUAUCAGUUCUCCAUGAAUGGGGAUAGUAAGUGCUACUACACUAAGGAAGUUAGUCUAAGCCUGAUGGCAUUUAGCGAGAGUGCUCAACAGGAAUCGUCAUCACACUUCAUUAUUCUUGGUUUUACAACCUGAAGUACUUGGUUCAUGAAGAAGCACUGAAGAGUUCCAGCUCCCUUUGCCUCCUGCUUCUCCUUCCUCUCUGGCCAACACCAUGGGAAAGACACAAGGUUAUCCAGCCUGCUGUCAGUAGAAAAAGGCUGACUGCACUUCUUGCCAAGAAAGCUUCUUGCUGCAAUGACAGGGGUGCUGCUCUCGAGUGAGAAACCGAGGGAAAGGAAUGGAAAAUACAUAAUUCAGGAGUCUCACACUGCCUGAAGCAGCUAGCUAACCUGGUCCCAGAGAAGGGUCUGUGCAGUGCAGAAGCUCCCCCAGGAAGCCUCUGGCAAAGGCUGUCUUGCUGCAGUCAGGAGACUGAGCCCACAACUGUUGCCAAGGAGUGCUUCCGCCUAGACAAGCCUCCUUCCCCAAAAUGCAGGGUCAUCUCCUUCACACUGCUGAUCUCUGCACCUACCUGGGAGACAGGAAUGAGCAGUAACAAGCUUCCCAGAGGGAUGAAACACACACACAGACAGCACCCUGCCCAGGGCACAGAGCCCAGGAUUGCACCCAAACUCCAACAUCCCACAGCCAGAGUUCCCUGCAGACCCACCCUAAAAUACAUUUUUUAGGUGCCACCUGAAGGUUCAUUUCUCCAGUUAAUUCCUGAAUCCUCACGACCAAUAACAUAAUAAAGUUGGGAUAACCCCAGGACAGGAGAAGUCCCCACCAUAUUAUCUGUCCCACAGUGGGUGUGAUCCAGGUUUAAGGCACGCAGUGAAACCUGAAGCAGUACUGGCCCCAGUGGCACACCCACACAGCUCAAUGCCCAGCCCAGGCUAGGAUCCUUGACAUCCCAGUUCCAAACUGGGUGAGGUGGGGAGGAGGUCCCGCUUGGGAUUGGUGAGGAGCAGGCAGGAGUGUGCAGGACAAUGCACUACCAUUAGGCACAUUCCAUAGGCACAGAGUUGCCUCCAGCAGGGUUCUGAGUUGCACUCGGGUUCCCAGUAGCCCUCAGAGACUCCCAGUUACACCCAGAGGCUCUUAAAGGGUUUGCAGUUGCUCCCAGUUUCCUACAAAGGUUCUGGGUUGCCCCUCAGGGUUCGUAGUUGCUUCCACAAGGCUCUGGGAUGUUCCACCUUCCCCUUCAGAGGCUCCCAGGGUGACAGUGUCCCUUGUGCCUGUGUCCCAUCUCAUGUAGCUAGGCUUCCUGCAGCAUUCGCAGGCGUGCGAGGCAGUGCUUCCCAGAUUUACCACUUAUUUAACAUGUAUUUGGUUGGAAGGAGGGAAGUUGUAUUUCCUAAGUGCAAGGAUUGCUCAUGGCAAGAUGGAAAUUAAAAACGAAAUGAAAAAAAAAAAAACAAACAAAUUUGCUGGAUUUGGGCUGGAUUUGACUGCAUUGGAACAAUUCAAAACUCCUGAAUACCUGCAGUAUAUUGAUGACAUCAGUGUGUGGGCCACACAGCAGAGGAAGUGUUCGAGAAAGGCAGAAUAAUAAUCCAGGUUCUUCUGAAAGUGGUUUUUGCCAUAAAACAAAAGUCAAAUGACCUUCAUAGGAGCCCCAGUUUUUAGGAAUAAAAUAGUAAGACGGGUGUCCUCCAUAUUCCACUGGAUGAGACCGAAAAGAUCAGUUAGGUCUCCAUCAACUAACAAAAAUAAGCACAGGCUUUCUUAGGUGUCAUGGGGUUUUGGGUAAUACAAAUCCCAGGUCACAGUCUGAUUUUAAACCCUUGCUAUCAAGUGACCUAGAAGAAGAAUAAUGCUUUACACUUCAGCCAGGGACAACAGUCUGACCUGGAACCUCUGGCAGAAAGCACCUGGAAAGACUUGAGGUUCUCCUCUGGGGUUUUGCAACCAGGGAUAUACAGGAUCUGUGAUUAUGAAUCUCACCUACACCUUCUACUUAAGCCUGAGACCAGGUCUGUAACAUGCAGCCAGCGAACAUGUCUCCCAGACAGCUGUGGCCCAAAGCUAAAGCAGUUUGCAACCCUCACCUUCAUGUGACACCCCCUUUGCAUACCACAAACCCCUGCAGCUCUGAACACAUUCUACCACCUCACCUACACCCUCAUUCUAGCAAGAACAGAGGAAAACUAUGACAGCUGUCAGCAAUGUUUCCCAUACAGGUAAGGCCAAACUAAAAGCUUUGAACAACCCUCACCUUUCCCCUAUAGCCGCAUCCAUGCCCCACAACUAGAGCCUAGAUUGCAAACACACACACAGGGUUCUGCUCUUUGUCCUGAACGUACGUCUAAGCUUCACCUAAUCCUAGCCAGAGUCCAGGUCCAACAGGAAUGCUGCCAGCUAUGGCGCCCAAGAAAAAGUGCCCAAAACAAAGCUUUUCGCAGCCCUCACCUUCCUUGGCAGACUUUUUGCAGUUUUUGUAGCACUGGGGCUAUGUAAUUUGUCUUGCAUUGAAUCCUAACCCUUUUCCUGACCCUCACUCUAUGCUAAGAGAACGUAUAAAACGUGCCUCAUCAGCAAUCACUGUCUGCCCCGCACCAGAUCUUAAGACUAAUGUCAAUCUUCAUCGGUUCCUAAUAUACUGGAAAAGGAAGGAGUACAAUUAAACAUUUCUCAUGGAAGGACUCCAGCACAGUUUUUAAUAGGGUCAGAGACUCCAUGCCAAAAAAGACUUGUUAAAAUCUCUAUACCUGACAUACCAAAAGUAUGCAUAUACAA